GCCUGCGGCACGGGGUGUCCUUCUUGGGAAGGGCUGAGAUAAAACCCGUCGAACCUGAUCCAGCUCAUACUGGCGAAGGGAUGUCCGAAUCCAUGGCC
This is a regulatory RNA element of Alcaligenes sp. EGD-AK7, 98 nucleotides long. It matches the Rfam family "TPP riboswitch aptamer (THI element)". From Rfam's summary of the family: Vitamin B(1) in its active form thiamin pyrophosphate (TPP) is an essential coenzyme that is synthesised by coupling of pyrimidine and thiazole moieties in bacteria. The previously detected thiamin-regulatory element, thi box was extended, resulting in a new, highly conserved RNA secondary structure, the THI element, which is widely distributed in eubacteria and also occurs in some archaea. Lineage: Bacteria; Pseudomonadati; Pseudomonadota; Betaproteobacteria; Burkholderiales; Alcaligenaceae. The record is from Rfam.